RNAcentral lists this ribosomal RNA (376 nucleotides) under uncultured bacterium. RNAcentral's name for it is "bacterial SSU rRNA". It matches the Rfam family "Bacterial small subunit ribosomal RNA", at positions 31 to 415 of the family's 1533-position model. The record is from RNAcentral.
GAACGCUGGCGGCAUGCCUUACACAUGCAAGUCGAACGGUAGAGUAGCAAUACUCGAGAGUGGCGAACGGGUGAGUAAUAUAUCGGAACGUGCCCAGUCGUGGGGGAUAACGUAGAGAAAUUUACGCUAAUACCGCAUACGAUCUAAGGAUGAAAGCGGGGGAUCGCAAGACCUCGCGCGAUUGGAGCGGCUGAUAUCAGAUUAGGUUGUUGGUGAGGUAAAAGCUCACCAAGCCGACGAUCUGUAGCUGGUUUGAGAGAACGACCAGCCACACUGGGACUGAGACACGGCCCAGACUCCUACGGGAGGCAGCAGUGGGGAAUUUUGGACAAUGGGCGAAAGCCUGAUCCAGCAAUGCCGCGUGUGGGAAGAAGGC